UUUUAUGGAGAGUUUGAUCCUGGCUCAGGAUGAACGCUGGCGGCGUGCCUAAUACCUGUCUCUUAUACACRYCUMMGACKGCCYACGAGAYSKAKCUCUCCGUCUCGUSGGCWSSGUCAGAUGUGUAUAAGAGACAGNNNNACCUACCUAUAAGACUGGGAUAACUUCGGGAAACCGGAGCUAAUACCGGAUAAUAUUUUGAACCGCAUGGUUCAAAAGUGAAAGACGGUCUUGCUGUCACUUAUAGAUGGAUCCGCGCUGCAUUAGCUAGUUGGUAAGGUAACGGCUUACCAAGGCAACGAUGCAUAGCCGACCUGAGAGGGUGAUCGGCCACACUGGAACUGAGACACGGUCCAGACUCCUACGGGAGGCAGCAGUAGGGAAUCUUCCGCAAUGGGCGAAAGCCUGACGGAGCAACGCCGCGUGAGUGAUGAAGGUCUUCGGAUCGUAAAACUCUGUUAUUAGGGAAGAACAUAUGUGUAAGUAACUGUGCACAUCUUGACGGUACCUAAUCAGAAAGCCACGGCUAACUACGUGCCAGCAGCCGCGGUAAUACGUAGGUGGCAAGCGUUAUCCGGAAUUAUUGGGCGUAAAGCGCGCGUAGGCGGUUUUUUAAGUCUGAUGUGAAAGCCCACGGCUCAACCGUGGAGGGUCAUUGGAAACUGGAAAACUUGAGUGCAGAAGAGGAAAGUGGAAUUCCAUGUGUAGCGGUGAAAUGCGCAGAGAUAUGGAGGAACACCAGUGGCGAAGGCGACUUUCUGGUCUGUAACUGACGCUGAUGUGCGAAAGCGUGGGGAUCAAACAGGAUUAGAUACCCUGGUAGUCCACGCCGUAAACGAUGAGUGCUAAGUGUUAGGGGGUUUCCGCCCCUUAGUGCUGCAGCUAACGCAUUAAGCACUCCGCCUGGGGAGUACGACCGCAAGGUUGAAACUCAAAGGAAUUGACGGGGACCCGCACAAGCGGUGGAGCAUGUGGUUUAAUUCGAAGCAACGCGAAGAACCUUACCAAAUCUUGACAUCCUUUGACAACUCUAGAGAUAGAGCCUUCCCCUUCGGGGGACAAAGUGACAGGUGGUGCAUGGUUGUCGUCAGCUCGUGUCGUGAGAUGUUGGGUUAAGUCCCGCAACGAGCGCAACCCUUAAGCUUAGUUGCCAUCAUUAAGUUGGGCACUCUAAGUUGACUGCCGGUGACAAACCGGAGGAAGGUGGGGAUGACGUCAAAUCAUCAUGCCCCUUAUGAUUUGGGCUACACACGUGCUACAAUGGACAAUACAAAGGGCAGCGAAACCGCGAGGUCAAGCAAAUCCCAUAAAGUUGUUCUCAGUUCGGAUUGUAGUCUGCAACUCGACUACAUGAAGCUGGAAUCGCUAGUAAUCGUAGAUCAGCAUGCUACGGUGAAUACGUUCCCGGGUCUUGUACACACCGCCCGUCACACCACGAGAGUUUGUAACACCCGAAGCCGGUGGAGUAACCUUUUAGGAGCUAGCCGUCGAAGGUGGGACAAAUGAUUGGGGUGAAGUCGUAACAAGGUAGCCGUAUCGGAAGGUGCGGCUGGAUCACCUCCUUUCUAA
This 1569-nucleotide ribosomal RNA is filed under the name Staphylococcus aureus. Its description in RNAcentral is "bacterial SSU rRNA". It matches the Rfam family "Bacterial small subunit ribosomal RNA". The record is from RNAcentral. Lineage: Bacteria; Bacillati; Bacillota; Bacilli; Caryophanales; Staphylococcaceae.